AAACCAGCACCUCAAGUGGUCAGGAUGAUUAUUGGGCCUAAAGCAUCCGUAGCCUGCUCUGUAAGUUUUCGGUUAAAUCUGUACGCUUAACGUACAGGCUGCCGGGAAUACUGCAGAGCUAGGGAGUGGGAGAGGUAGACGGUACUCGGGAGGAAGUGGUAAAAUGCUUUGAUCUCUCGAUGACCACCUGUGGCGAAGGCGGUCUACCAGAACACGUCCGACGGUGAGGGAUGAAAGCUGGGGGAGCAAACCGGAUUAGAAACCCCGGUAGUCC
RNAcentral lists this ribosomal RNA (274 nucleotides) under uncultured bacterium. RNAcentral describes it as "partial 16S ribosomal RNA". It matches the Rfam family "Archaeal small subunit ribosomal RNA", at positions 473 to 747 of the family's 1478-position model. The record is from RNAcentral.